AAGUCGUAACAAGGUUUCCGUAGGUGAACCUGCGGAAGGAUCAUUAAUGAGAUAGGGUCCUUCGGGGCCCCGACCUCCAACCCCCAUAUCUACCUUACCCACUGCUGCCUCGGCGGGGACGCCGACGCCCCCCUAAGAAGGGCGCCCGGCCCGACGGCUUCGGCCCCUCGAGCGCCCCGUCGGUGGACUAAUUGAAACCCAUUUAAUGAAGCCUUCUGAGGUAUUAUACAAUACUUCAAAA
Molecule: unclassified non-coding RNA, 241 nt
Filed under: plant metagenome
Description: partial contains small subunit ribosomal RNA and internal transcribed spacer 1
Rfam family: Eukaryotic small subunit ribosomal RNA (bases 1-46)
Source: RNAcentral